Molecule: ribosomal RNA, 459 nt
Filed under: uncultured bacterium
Lineage: Bacteria
Description: partial 16S ribosomal RNA
Rfam family: Bacterial small subunit ribosomal RNA
Source: RNAcentral
CCUACGGGAGGCUGCAGUGAGGAAUAUUGGUCAAUGGCCGAGAGGCUGAACCAGCCAAGUCGCGUGAGGGAAGACGGCCCUACGGGUUGUAAACCUCUUUUGUCGGGGAGCAAAGCGAACCACGUGUGGUUCAUUGAGAGUACCCGAAGAAAAAGCAUCGGCUAACUCCGUGCCAGCAGCCGCGGUAAUACGGAGGAUGCGAGCGUUAUCCGGAUUUAUUGGGUUUAAAGGGUGCGCAGGCGGAGGUGCAAGUCAGCGGUCAAAUUGCGGGGCUCAACCCCGCACUGCCGUCGAAACUGGAUGCCUUGAGUGUGCGGGAGGUAUGCGGAAUGCGCGGUGUAGCGGUGAAAUGCAUAGAUAUCGCGCAGAACUCCGAUUGCGAAGGCAGCAUACCGGCGCGCAACUGACGCUGAUGCACGAAAGCGUGGGUAUCGAACAGGAUUAGAUACCCGGGUAGUC